AGAGUUUGAUCCUGGCUCAGGAUGAACGCUGGCGGUCUGCUUAACACAUGCAAGUCGAACGGAAGUCUUCGGACUUUAGUGGCGGACGGGUGAGUAACGCGUGAGAAUCUGCCUUCAGGUUGGGGACAACAGUUGGAAACGACUGCUAAUACCCAAUGUGCCGAGAGGUGAAAGCUUUAGUGCCUGAGGAUGAGCUCGCGUCUGAUUAGCUAGUUGGAGUGGUAAUGGCACACCAAGGCGACGAUCAGUAGCUGGUCUGAGAGGAUGGCCAGCCACAUUGGGACUGAGACACGGCCCAAACUCCUACGGGAGGCAGCAGUGGGGAAUCUUGCGCAAUGGGCGAAAGCCUGACGCAGCCAUGCCGCGUGGAUGAUGAAGGUCUUAGGAUUGUAAAAUCCUUUCAGCGGGGACGAUAAUGACGGUACCCGCAGAAGAAGCCCCGGCUAACUUCGUGCCAGCAGCCGCGGUAAUACGAAGGGGGCUAGCGUUGCUCGGAUUUACUGGGCGUAAAGGGCGCGUAGGCGGACAGUUAAGUUGGGGGUGAAAGCCCGGGGCUCAACCUCGGAAUUGCCUUCAAUACUGGCUGUCUUGAGUGUGAGAGAGGUGUGUGGAACUCCGAGUGUAGAGGUGAAAUUCGUAGAUAUUCGGAAGAACACCAGUGGCGAAGGCGACACACUGGCUCACUACUGACGCUGAGGCGCGAAAGCGUGGGGAGCAAACAGGAUUAGAUACCCUGGUAGUCC
This 743-nucleotide ribosomal RNA is filed under the name uncultured Caulobacteraceae bacterium. Its description in RNAcentral is "bacterial SSU rRNA". It matches the Rfam family "Bacterial small subunit ribosomal RNA", at positions 8 to 796 of the family's 1533-position model. The record is from RNAcentral. Lineage: Bacteria; Pseudomonadati; Pseudomonadota; Alphaproteobacteria; Caulobacterales; Caulobacteraceae.